RNAcentral lists this ribosomal RNA (468 nucleotides) under uncultured bacterium. RNAcentral's name for it is "partial 16S ribosomal RNA". It matches the Rfam family "Bacterial small subunit ribosomal RNA", at positions 28 to 507 of the family's 1533-position model. The record is from RNAcentral.
GACGAACGCUGGCGGCGUGCUUAACACAUGCAAGUCGAACGGAAAGGCCCUGCUUUUGUGGGGUGCUCGAGUGACGAACGGGUGAGUAACACGUGAGUAACCUGCCCUUGACUUUGGGAUAACUUCAGGAAACUGGGGCUAAUACCGGAUAGGAGCUCCUGCUGCAUGGUGGGGGUUGGAAAGUUUCGGCGGUUGGGGAUGGACUCGCGGCUUAUCAGCUUGUUGGUGGGGUAGUGGCUUACCAAGGCUUUGACGGGUAGCCGGCCUGAGAGGGUGACCGGCCACAUUGGGACUGAGAUACGGCCCAGACUCCUACGGGAGGCAGCAGUGGGGAAUAUUGCACAAUGGGCGGAAGCCUGAUGCAGCAACGCCGCGUGCGGGAUGACGGCCUUCGGGUUGUAAACCGCUUUCGCCUGUGACGAAGCGUGAGUGACGGUAAUGGGUAAAGAAGCACCGACUAACUACGUG